AACGUAGGUUCCGAGCGUUAUCCGGAUUUACUGGGCGUAAAGGGUGCGUAGGCGGUCGGGUAAGUCUGAUGUGAAAUCUCACAGCUUAACUGUGAAACUGCAUUGGAUACUAUUCGGCUUGAGAGUUGGAGGGGGGACUGGAAUUCUUGGUGUAGCAGUGAAAUGCGUAGAUAUCAAGAGGAACACCAGUGGCGAAGGCGAGUCCCUGGACAACUUCUGACGCUGAGGCACGAAAGCUAGGGGAGCAAACAGG
Molecule: ribosomal RNA, 253 nt
Filed under: uncultured bacterium
Lineage: Bacteria
Description: partial 16S ribosomal RNA
Rfam family: Bacterial small subunit ribosomal RNA
Source: RNAcentral